UACGGAGGGUGCAAGCGUUAAUCGGAAUUACUGGGCGUAAAGGGUGCGUAGGCGGAUAAUUAAGUCAGACGUGAAAUUCCGGGGCUCAACCCCGGAGCUGCAUCUGAAACUGGAUAUCUAGCAGGAUGGCGGAGAAAACGGAAUUCCAUGUGUAGCGUUGAAAUGCGUAGAUAUGUGGAAGAACACCUGUGGCGAAAGCGGUUUUCUAGCCUACCCUGGACGCCGUGGCACGAAAGCAAGGGGAGCAAACAGG
RNAcentral lists this ribosomal RNA (253 nucleotides) under uncultured bacterium. Its description in RNAcentral is "partial 16S ribosomal RNA". It matches the Rfam family "Bacterial small subunit ribosomal RNA", at positions 524 to 776 of the family's 1533-position model. The record is from RNAcentral.